Molecule: non-coding RNA, 109 nt
Organism: Mycena rosella
Lineage: Eukaryota; Fungi; Basidiomycota; Agaricomycetes; Agaricales; Mycenaceae
Source: the annotation of a GenBank genome assembly
UGCCCCCUGGCCCAGCUGGUUAAGGCGUCCGACUGUUAAAUCAAUUAUCAUAUUGAUUACAUUACAUAAUGUAAUCGGGAGAUCGAGAGUUCGAUCCUCUCGGGGGCAG